GGAAGGAUCAUUAACACAAUACAUUUACCCAAAUGUAUUUUAACCCCCACUUUGCAAACUUGUUUCAUAUUGUUUUCCCGGAUUUGGAGAGACUUGCUUUUUCCAAAUCUGUGGUUUCAAACCUUUAUAUAACCCCUUGAACUGUCUUUGACUGAAACUCUGAGCUAUGACAAACUUCAAAAACUUGUCAUACCUCUGCCAUAUAUCAAACGCUGAACAACUCUUAGCAACGGAUAUCUUGGCUCUCGCAACGAUGAAGAACGCAGCGAAAUGCGAUACGUAAUGCGAAUUGCAGAAUUCAGUGAAUCAUCAAAUCUUUGAACGCAAGUGGCGCUCUCACGCUCGCGUGGGAGCAUGCCUCUUUCAGCAUCGGUUAUUCUAAACUCAUCUGCUUGCAGAUGGAGAAUGAGUUGUCGCUCUGUGUCUUUUUUCAUUAAAGAGAGAGAGGGCGUCACUUCAAGUAAGGCGAGCUCAGUCGCAAGUUUCACUGAGAAAGUGACGUUGGUAGGUAAUGAAAGGGCCGUCAAACGCCUUUUCGUUUACUUCACGCCGCGUCUGCUUUCGAUUGCAGGUGAAGCUGCCCUAGUAGUAGUAACAUAUUAUUAGGACGACUAGCGUAAGAACAGUCUUUGUUUGUUAGUUAUAUACCAAACAGAGUAGCUGUUCAGCUUUAACGACUUGAUCUGAAAUGAGGUAAGAGGACCCGCCGAAUUUAAGCAUAUUAAUAAGCGGAGGAAAAGAAACUAACAAGGAUUCCCCUAGUAACGGCGAGUGAAGCGGGAAGAGCUCAAAAUGAAAAUCGGCUGGCCAAGCGGCAAGUCGAGUUGUAGUCUAAAGAUGUAAUGUCAGCGUGUGACCCGGGUAUAAAUCUUUUGGAACAAGGUGUCAUAGAGGGUGAGAAUCCCGUCUUUGACUCGGAGUUCACCGCGUACGACAUGCAUUCAACGAGUCGAGUUGUUUGGGAUUGCAACUCUAAAUGGGUGGUAAAUUUCAUCUAAAGCUAAAUACCAGCGAGAGACCGAUAGCGAACAAGUACCGUGAGGGAAAGAUGAAAAGAACUUUGAAAAGAGAGUUAAAAAGUACUUGAAAUUGUUAAGAAGGAAGCGAUGGCAACCAGUCGUGCGCUGCAGUAUAUUGGCCACUGGCUGGCGGACGGGGGUGUUGCUGAGUGCGUCAAUGCCUCGACAGCAUCUUUGAAAGUCGGUGAGUGGGAUUGUAUUGCGGUGCGAGUCAGCAUCGGUUUGAAAUUUGGCGCAGGAGAAAGCUGGGAGGAAGGUAGGGCAACACUUCGGUGGGGCCUGUUAUAGCCUCUCAGUCCUACUGUGCUUUGGACCGAGGUAAAGCUAGUACGCCCCAAUGGUCGCUCUCUGGUCCCCGCUUGGUUACUUGUGCAGAGAGCAAAGCUCUGUGUAUAGGGACGCCAGGUGUUGGGCUGGUUCGUAGCAGAUCGCGUACUCGUGAUGCUGACGAAAUGGUUUUCAUUGACCCGUCUUGAAACACGGACCAAGGAGUCUAACAUAUAUGCGAGUAUUUGGGUGAGUAAAACCCUGAUGCGUAAUGAAAGUAAAGGUGGACUUGUGCCACUGAGGUGGGAAUCUCGUCAUUCUUGGCGGGAGGCACCAUCGACCGAUCGUUCGCUUGCGGAAGAUUUGAGUCAGAGCAUAUCUGUUGGGACCCGAAAGAUGGUGAACUAUGCCUGAGCAGGGUGAAGCCAGGGGAAACUCUGGUGGAGGCUCGUAGCGAUACUGACGUGCAAAUCGUUCGUCUGACUUGGGUAUAGGGGCGAAAGACUAAUCGAACCAUCUAGUAGCUGGUUCCCUC
RNAcentral lists this unclassified non-coding RNA (1821 nucleotides) under uncultured fungus. Its description in RNAcentral is "sequence contains 18S rRNA gene, ITS1, 5.8S rRNA gene, ITS2, 28S rRNA gene". The stretch from base 680 to 1821 matches the Rfam family "Eukaryotic large subunit ribosomal RNA", at positions 1 to 961 of the family's 3401-position model. The record is from RNAcentral. Lineage: Eukaryota; Fungi.